Molecule: ribosomal RNA, 274 nt
Filed under: uncultured bacterium
Lineage: Bacteria
Description: partial 16S ribosomal RNA
Rfam family: Archaeal small subunit ribosomal RNA
Source: RNAcentral
AAACCAGCACCUCAAGUGGUCAGGAGGUUUAUUGGGCCUAAAGCAUCCGUAGCCUGAUCUGUAAGUUUUCGGUUAAAUCCACUAGCUCAACUAGUGGGCUGCCGAAAAUACUGUAGAACUAGGGAGUGGGAGAGGUAGACGGUAUUCGGUAGGAAGGGGUAAAAUCCUUUGAUCUAUUGAGGACCACCUGUGGCGAAGGCGGUCUACCAGAACACGUUCGACGGUGAGGGAUGAAAGCUGGGGGAGCAAACCGGAUUAGAAACCCGGGUAGUCC